UCGUAACAAGGUUUCCGUAGGUGAACCUGCGGAAGGAUCAUUACUGAGUGCGGGCUGCCUCCGGGCGCCCAACCUCCCACCCGUGAAUACCUAACACUGUUGCUUCGGCGGGGAACCCCCUCGGGGGCGAGCCGCCGGGGACUACUGAACUUCAUGCCUGAGAGUGAUGCAGUCUGAGUCUGAAUAUAAAAUCAGUCAAAACUUUCAACAAUGGAUCUCUUGGUUCCGGCAUCGAUGAAGAACGCAGCGAACUGCGAUAAGUAAUGUGAAUUGCAGAAUUCAGUGAAUCAUCGAGUCUUUGAACGCACAUUGCGCCCCCUGGCAUUCCGGGGGGCAUGCCUGUCCGAGCGUCAUUGCUGCCCAUCAAGCCCGGCUUGUGUGUUGGGUCGUCGUCCCCCCCGGGGGACGGGCCCGAAAGGCAGCGGCGGCACCGUGUCCGGUCCUCGAGCGUAUGGGGCUUUGUCACCCGCUCGACUAGGGCCGGCCGGGCGCCAGCCGACGUCUCCAACCAUUUUUCUUCAGGUUGACCUCGGAUCAGGUAGGGAUACCCGCUGAACCUAAGCAUAUCAU
Molecule: unclassified non-coding RNA, 570 nt
Filed under: Aspergillus sydowii
Lineage: Eukaryota; Fungi; Ascomycota; Eurotiomycetes; Eurotiales; Aspergillaceae
Description: sequence contains 18S rRNA gene, ITS1, 5.8S rRNA gene, ITS2, 28S rRNA gene
Rfam family: 5.8S ribosomal RNA (bases 200-353)
Source: RNAcentral